ACACUGCUGAGGAGUUUCACAAUAGAACGAAAUGGACAUCCAGUGU
This 46-nucleotide non-coding RNA is filed under the name Schistosoma mattheei. Lineage: Eukaryota; Metazoa; Platyhelminthes; Trematoda; Strigeidida; Schistosomatidae. The record is from RNAcentral.